RNAcentral lists this ribosomal RNA (723 nucleotides) under uncultured fungus. RNAcentral describes it as "SSU rRNA". It matches the Rfam family "Eukaryotic small subunit ribosomal RNA", at positions 333 to 1060 of the family's 1831-position model. The record is from RNAcentral. Lineage: Eukaryota; Fungi.
AUAGAGGCCUACCAUGGUGGUAACGGGUAACGGGGUGUUAGGGCACGACACCGGAGAGGGAGCCUGAGAAACGGCUACCACAUCCAAGGAUGGCAGCAGGCGCGCAAAUUACCCAAUCCCGACACGGGGAGGUAGUGACAAUAAGUAACAAUACGGGGUUCUUUCGGAUCUCGUAAUUGGAAUGAGUACAAUUUAAAUCUCUUAACGAGGAACAAUUGGAGGGCAAGUCUGGUGCCAGCAGCCGCGGUAAUUCCAGCUCCAAUAGCGUAUAUUAAAGUUGUUGCAGUUAAAAAGCUCGUAGUUGAAUUUCGGGGUUAGUAGGUUGGUCAUGCCUCUGGUAUGUACUGGUCUCACUGAUUCCUCCUUCCUUAUGAACCGUAAUGCCAUUAAUUUGGUGUUGCGGGGAAUUUGGACUGUUACUUUGAAAAAAUUAGAGUGUUUAAAGCAAGCUAACGCUUGAAUACAUUAGCAUGGAAUAAUGAAAUAGGACGUUCGAUCUUAUUUUGUUGGUUUCUAGGAUUGACGUAAUGAUUAAUAGGGAUAGUUGGGGGCAUUAGUAUUCAAUUGUCAGAGGUGAAAUUCUUGGAUUUAUUGAAGACUAACUACUGCGAAAGCAUUUGCCAAGGAUGUUUUCAUUAAUCGAGAACGAAAGUUAGGGGAUCGAAGACGACCAGAUACCGUCGUAGUCUUAACCAUAAACUAUGCCGACUAGGGAUCGGAUGA